Molecule: ribosomal RNA, 480 nt
Filed under: uncultured Caulobacter sp.
Lineage: Bacteria; Pseudomonadati; Pseudomonadota; Alphaproteobacteria; Caulobacterales; Caulobacteraceae
Description: bacterial SSU rRNA
Rfam family: Bacterial small subunit ribosomal RNA
Source: RNAcentral
GACGGGUGAGUAACACGUGGGAACGUGCCUUUUGGUUCGGAAUAACUCAGGGAAACUUGUGCUAAUACCGAAUGUGCCCUUCGGGGGAAAGAUUUAUCGCCAUUAGAGCGGCCCGCGUCUGAUUAGCUAGUUGGUAGUGUAACGGACUACCAAGGCGACGAUCAGUAGCUGGUCUGAGAGGAUGAUCAGCCACAUUGGGACUGAGACACGGCCCAAACUCCUACCGGAGGCAGCAGUGGGGAAUCUUGCGCAAUGGGCGAAAGCCUGACGCAGCCAUGCCGCGUGAAUGAUGAAGGUCUUAGGAUUGUAAAAUUCUUUCACCGGGGACGAUAAUGACGGUACCCGGAGAAGAAGCCCCGGCUAACUUCGUGCCAGCAGCCGCGGUAAUACGAAGGGGGCUAGCGUUGCUCGGAAUUACUGGGCGUAAAGGGAGCGUAGGCGGACAUUUAAGUCAGGGGUGAAAUCCCGGGGCUCAACCUC